This 381-nucleotide ribosomal RNA is filed under the name Clostridium perfringens. RNAcentral's name for it is "bacterial SSU rRNA". It matches the Rfam family "Bacterial small subunit ribosomal RNA", at positions 1 to 378 of the family's 1533-position model. The record is from RNAcentral. Lineage: Bacteria; Bacillati; Bacillota; Clostridia; Eubacteriales; Clostridiaceae.
UUAAAUUGAGAGUUUGAUCCUGGCUCAGGAUGAACGCUGGCGGCGUGCUUAACACAUGCAAGUCGAGCGAUGAAGUUUCCUUCGGGAAACGGAUUAGCGGCGGACGGGUGAGUAACACGUGGGUAACCUGCCUCAUAGAGUGGAAUAGCCUUCCGAAAGGAAGAUUAAUACCGCAUAACGUUGAAAGAUGGCAUCAUCAUUCAACCAAAGGAGCAAUCCGCUAUGAGAUGGACCCGCGGCGCAUUAGCUAGUUGGUGGGGUAACGGCCUACCAAGGCGACGAUGCGUAGCCGACCUGAGAGGGUGAUCGGCCACAUUGGGACUGAGACACGGCCCAGACUCCUACGGGAGGCAGCAGUGGGGAAUAUUGCACAAUGGGGGA